This is a non-coding RNA of Schistosoma mattheei, 45 nucleotides long. The record is from Rfam. Lineage: Eukaryota; Metazoa; Platyhelminthes; Trematoda; Strigeidida; Schistosomatidae.
AUCCAGCUGACGAGUCCCAAAUAGGACGAGACGCGAAUCCUAGAU